RNAcentral lists this ribosomal RNA (395 nucleotides) under uncultured bacterium. RNAcentral's name for it is "bacterial SSU rRNA". It matches the Rfam family "Bacterial small subunit ribosomal RNA", at positions 505 to 898 of the family's 1533-position model. The record is from RNAcentral.
GUGUCAGCAGCCGCGGUAAGACGAACCACACAAACGUUAUUCGGAAUUACUGGGCUUAAAGGGUGCGUAGGCGGCGCGGAAAGUAGGGUGUGAAAUCCCUCGGCUCAACCGAGGAAUUGCGCCCUAAACUACCGUGCUCGAGGGAGAUAGAGGUGAGCGGAACUUAGGGUGGAGCGGUGAAAUGCGUUGAUAUCCUAAGGAACACCGGUGGCGAAAGCGGCUCACUGGAUCUCUUCUGACGCUGAGGCACGAAAGCUAGGGUAGCGAACGGGAUUAGAUACCCCGGUAGUCCUAGCCGUAAACGAUGAGCACUGGAUUGGAGGCUCCUCCAUAGGCUUCCAGUCGCAGCGAAAGUGUUAAGUGCUCCGCCUGGGGAGUAUGGUCGCAAGGCUGAA